AUUGAACGCUGGCGGCAUGCUUUACACAUGCAAGUCGGACGGCAGCGCGGGCUUCGGCCUGGCGGCGAGUGGCGAACGGGUGAGUAAUACAUCGGAACGUGCCCAGUAGUGGGGGAUAGCACGGCGAAAGCCGGAUUAAUACCGCAUACGACCUGAGGGUGAAAGCGGGGGACUUUAGGGCCUCGCGCUAUUGGAGCGGCCGAUGGCAGAUUAGCUAGUUGGUGUGGUAAAGGCCUACCAAGGCGACGAUCUGUAGCUGGUCUGAGAGGACGACCAGCCACACUGGGACUGAGACACGGCCCAGACUCCUACGGGAGGCAGCAGUGGGGAAUUUUGGACAAUGGGCGCAAGCCUGAUCCAGCAAUGCCGCGUGUGUGAUGAAGGCCUUCGGGUUGUAAAGCACUUUUGGCAGGAACGAAAAGUGCCGUGCUAAUACCACGGUACGAUGACGGUACCUGCAGAAUAAGCACCGGCUAACUACGUG
This 484-nucleotide ribosomal RNA is filed under the name uncultured bacterium. RNAcentral describes it as "partial 16S ribosomal RNA". It matches the Rfam family "Bacterial small subunit ribosomal RNA", at positions 29 to 507 of the family's 1533-position model. The record is from RNAcentral.